GACGAACGCUGGCGGCGUGCUUAACACAUGCAAGUCGAGCGGUAAGGCCUCUUCGGUGGUACACGAGCGGCGAACGGGUGAGUAACACGUGGGUGACCUGCCCUCAGCUCUGGGAUAAGCCUGGGAAACUGGGUCUAAUACCGGAUAUGACCUUUCCUCGCAUGGGGUUUGGUGGAAAGUUUUUUCGGCUGGGGAUGGGCCCGCGGCCUAUCAGCUUGUUGGUGGGGUGAUGGCCUACCAAGGCGACGACGGGUAGCCGGCCUGAGAGGGCGACCGGCCACACCGGGACUGAGACACGGCACAGAAUCCUACGGGAGGGAGCAGUGGGGAAUAUUGCGCAAUGGGCGGAAGCCUGAAGGAGCGACGCCGCGUGGGGGAUGACGGCCUUGGGGUUGGAAACCUCUUUCGACCCCGACGAAUUUGGACGGUAGGGUUAGAAGAAGCACCGGCCAACUACGUG
Molecule: ribosomal RNA, 460 nt
Filed under: uncultured bacterium
Lineage: Bacteria
Description: partial 16S ribosomal RNA
Rfam family: Bacterial small subunit ribosomal RNA
Source: RNAcentral